GUGAACUCUGACCCGCAGCGAAGGCACUGCAAAUGAAGACGGCCUGGAAGGAGCCCGACGUCGCGACGGCGGUUGGCCUCUGCCGCGGGGGACAGCACGUCCACGAGAUCCUGCUCGAGGAGGGUGACGUUAAUUCAGGUUGAUACAGAAGGCCGCAAAAGCAACUUCACCUUGCGGGUCCAAGCUGCCUGCGUGGCCUCCACCUUGGCCAGGCAGUCCAGUUCCAGACAGCACCUUUCCUGGCCGGACUGCAUGUCGACCUCGAGCAAAUGGCUCUGUUUGACACGCAGAAACACCUCCGUCCUCCCCUCAUCCUGACUCUGGUCAUCUUCCUCUUCUUUGUCAGGUAAGACACCCACCAGGAGCGGCAGACACUGGUCCACUGCACUCCAAAAUAACCCAUCAAGUUCUGUUUGGUAACAUAUGCCACACGUGUUUUUUUUUUUUUUUUUGCUAUGGUUAUAACUACCUCCCAGGUUUUCCUCACGUUCUCCCUCCUUGGAAUGGCCGCUCUCCUGCCUCGCUGACUUGUGGGAGUCCAAACUGUGUCUGGUGGAAGGGACCUGAGUGUCUUCCAAAGUGGACUCUGAGUGCUGAGUGUUUUGACUGGGCCACUGUAAUGUGGACUCUGUUUCUGUCUCUUGCUCUGCCUCCGCCUCCGGCACCCUGGGCUCAGAUGUGAGAAGUGGCGGAGGAAGAACCUCCGGAGGUGGACGCAGAGGGGCCUCGAGGCUGUCGGAGAGCGUUUCCAAGCCGUGGAGAGUUUCGGAAGGAGGCGGAGCUGCAUCUACGUCCAAGUGGUGCUGGUACCGCAACCAGUCUUCACCCAGCUGCUCUCUGAAACUGGACAUGCGCUCAAUCUCCUCUUGGUGUGGAAGAACAAUGUCUAGAGAGGAAGCACACAGUGCUUAGAUAGGCACCAGAGCUUAACAAAUUGAAAAAGACACAGGAUCAGAUUCAGGGCCGAAAGAGUCCUGUGAAUAGGAGCAUGUGAAAAAAAUGACAAAAUAAUAAUAAUAAUAAAAUUAAAUGAAUAAAUAAAUAAAACAAUAAUAAUAAUAA
Molecule: long non-coding RNA, 1062 nt
Organism: Syngnathus typhle (broad-nosed pipefish)
Lineage: Eukaryota; Metazoa; Chordata; Actinopteri; Syngnathiformes; Syngnathidae
Exons: 2
Source: RefSeq, a predicted model, not a curated record